RNAcentral lists this ribosomal RNA (301 nucleotides) under uncultured bacterium. RNAcentral describes it as "partial 16S ribosomal RNA". It matches the Rfam family "Bacterial small subunit ribosomal RNA", at positions 509 to 807 of the family's 1533-position model. The record is from RNAcentral.
CAGUCGCCGCGGGAAAACGGAGGGGGCUAGCGUUGUUCGGAAUUACUGGGCGUAAAGCGCACGUAGGCGGCUUGGUAAGUUAGAGGUGAAUGCCUGGAGCUCAACUCCAGAAUUGCCUUUAAGACUGCCGAGCUAGCAGGUGAGAGAGGUAAGUGGAAUUCCGAGUGUAGAGGUGAAAUUCGUAGAUAUUCGGAAGAACACCAGUGGCGAAGGCGGCUUACUGGCUCAUACUGGACGCUGAGGUGCGAAAGCGUGGGGAGCAAACAGGAUUAGAUACCCCCGUAGUCCCUGUCUCUUAUAC